CUCGCCCCCUCCUCUCCGCCCUCUCGCUCGCCGCCGCAAGGCCUCCCGCGCCGCUCAUCUCCACCUUCUCCAACGCGCUCUCUUGCUGGCCGUCGCAUCUCCUCAGCCCAUGGAUUCAGACGCAACGCAUCUGGGCCACCACCUCUCCUCUUUUCCUCCCAGAUUCCGAUCUGGAGCAGGAGAGAUAGAGGCGGACACAAGCGCCGACGCUGGCACGGGAUGAUAGAGACGCCACCUCUCCUUACCUCGUCCCAUAUUUGGGUCGUCGAGCCGACGGGGAUGAGGGAAGAGGCAGCCGCAGCAGGCGCAGUGCUGGCAAACGCGAGCAGCAGCCACAACAGGCGGCAGUGCUGGCGAAUCGGAUGUCCAUGGUGCGUCAACCAUGAAAGAUGCAGAAGAAAAAAUCAUGUUGAUAAAAGCACACACACCCACCAGGUUCAGGUUGCUGUGACUGUGAGUCAUCAUCCCAGGAGCAGGUUCAGCUUCUGUACAUCCAUUUUUUCGGCUACUUUGCAUCUUUCAGAUCUGCAAUUACAUAUGAUGGUAUUUCCCUUCUGCCAUACGAUGGACUGCUACUUCUUCUCAGAUGUGUCGGUUUCUGUAGCUCCAUUGCUUCUUUUUCAGUUAUAUGAUAGCUCAGGGAUGCUCACCAAUUGUUCCGUUAAAAUGACAAAACCGACUGAACUUUAUCUCUUAUAUGUGUUACUAAAUACUAGAGGUGAUUAUUUUAUUUCUAGGGAUUACAAUUUUAUAAGUGUUAUGCUUUUUGAGACUUUGAGGUCCGAACUAAUUAGUCUUUGAGAUCUCAAUGCUUCUAUAUAGAUGCAAUUAGUAUUUGUGACAAUGAGCAUCUCCGAAGCUGCAGCCUAUGCUAAAAGUAGUGCUAUUCAUUAGAACUAAUGUACCCGUUGAGGGAUAUAGAUUAUCCAUGGCGGAGCUGUGACGGCUCCAAUUUGUCCCUUCCAGCACAUGUGGUAGCGGAAGGAGUCGGGCGCCAAGGAUGGAGGCGAAGGAGCGCGGACACCCAGCUAUGGUGGUGCUGAUGGAUGAAGAAGAUGGGGGCGAAGGGAAAAAUAAAGUCCUUUGGGUGGUGAAGGCAGAAGAUCGCUCGCAUCCCCCAUCCGUUUUAUGUGCGUUCCUUGUGGGGAAAUUGAUUGCGGGGAGAAGGGAAGAAGAUGGGAAUCGUGAAGGGCUGGAAGACAUACGCCAUUGGCAGGCGGGCCUUCUCGUAUGCCAGAAGAAUAAUGCAUCUCGCAUGAAAAAAAGACCGACUGGUUGCUGUUUGGAAACUGAUUUGUGACGUUGCAUCAUGCUGACGUGGACAGCUUGCAUGUUAAGAUAAAUCAGAUAGUGGGGGUGAACUUCUUAGGUAUAUAGGAUGUGUGACACUUAUUUUGCAACAACAACAUUUUACAAUCUUACUAAUCAGUAUGACCCAUAUUCUGCUUCUUUUCUAAAUAUUUUUCAAUAUAAUUUAUAUCUUUGGCGUUCAAUGUUUCCUAGGUCAGGUAGUGAAUCAGGAUUUUUUUCCUUCUUUGGAAAUACAUCCUCCCUUUUCAAUUUUAUAAUACCACCUCCACUAUUUCAUUUCUUAUAUGGUCGUAUUUACAGUCUGUCCUUUUAUGCUCGUGUUGUCUAAAAGGGAGUCUGAUCUAUCUUGUGUUAUGUCUUCAUUCUAAAUCUUAUUUUAGAUAAGGAGACUUUCUUGGUUGAGCAGAUGUCAUGAUUGUUGAAGCUUCCUUAUUCCUGGGAACCUUUCACAUGUUUGAUGUGUACUUUUGUUGAUUAUUCUCCGAUCGAGGCAUAAUGUUUUUUUAUGAACGGGGAGGAUGUAUUCUAACAAACCAGGAACAUGUGAGGUGUACUGCCGUACCAAUUCAUUUAACCAACAAGCCACGAAGCAUUCGUCCACACGUGAGUGUGGCCCACUAGGCACAAGCGGUCGGCGCUCGACUGCCUGGCAGUACUGCUGUCAGAUCAGGGGACGCCAGUCGAGGUAGAGGAAGACGACCACCGCUCCUGGUCCUCGAGGUCCGGGUCCGCGCUUUCCAAAGGAGCACGGUGCUUCUCAAAUAUAGAUGGAGAACUUGCCAUGGAGGCACAUAGCUUGCUGAUUUUGUUUCUGGAUUGGCCCUUGAGAGGGAGACCGACCCAAACUUCAGCAGGUUUCAGUCAUCUUUAAAGGAGUUGUGGUUGGUUGCCAUUGUGGUGAAGUAAUUUCUUGCUGAAGCACCGGUCUAAAUUUAUCAUUGGUUUCGCUGGUGCUGCAUGUAAGCGGGGUUACUAAUUGUUCCAUUGGUUUUGCUCCGGUGAGUUCUUCCCCAUAUACCUUUGAUGCUUUUGCCUCCAUACCUUCGAGCUGGUAUUUUUUCCAAGGUUUAUCGUGUUUUCGUGGUAGUGUGACUGGCUUAGAGUUUGUAAUCAUUUAUCUUCUUCAAUGAAUGUCUGUGCUAUGAUAUUCUGUAAGGCUAGGAACACACUAAGUUGGUUAAUGCUUUUGAUCUAGCUUGUUGGGAGAUAAUGAAACAACAAUGUUUAUUUGCUCACAAUGCCUUAUGUUGAUUGUUCUGGAUAGGUAUUUUAGUCGUAAGAGAUGUCUCCAAAAAAGCAAAAACAGCAAUUCACUGUUGAUUUACUUUGCUAUGAUUGCUCCCAUUAGAUUGUCCUUAAAUCAUGUGCAAAGCUGAAGUAUUGUUCGCUGAGGAUGAUGAUGCAGAGUGUUAAAAGGCCUAUCUCCUUGGUAGAUGAAGCUUGUUGGAUUGAUUUCAGGCCAUUGAAAACAGAUGACACCAUGCCUCCCCCAGUUAAUGAACAUGUGUCGCUUCCAAGUACAUACUGAAGGAUGUUCUGAGGCUAGCACCUGGUUUAGAAGUUUUGCAAUUCACAUCUCAUAAUUUUGAUUUGAUGUCCAGAAUGUCAAUUGAAGAAUGAGCCUAUGAACUGCAUUGUAUUUUGUAAUAUAUCCUUAUAUAUGGUGCUUGUGGCGUUUUUUUUGCAAUUAUAAGUUUACAUUUAUGGGUAUUAUAGAGUUCUUUCUUUUUCCACAAGGGGCAGUAGCUGUGCCAUUCGACUCGAAGGACAAAGAGUUGAUCACAAAGGGGUAGCAUUCAGGAUAUAUACACAAGAGUAUAGAACCAAAUUAUAUGAUGUAAUUGACCGCUAUUUCUAUUAACUUCUCCUGUACAAAUGUUCACGAGUUCAUGUAUUAAGUAUAUUUUAUUGUGUCA
Non-coding RNA from Aegilops tauschii subsp. strangulata, 3227 nucleotides. Lineage: Eukaryota; Viridiplantae; Streptophyta; Magnoliopsida; Poales; Poaceae. The record is from RefSeq and is a predicted model, not a curated record.